CGGGUUGCAACGACCUGCCCCAAUUGAGUCUUAUUGAGCAAGUGGGGUUGCUUCGACUGACUUCCGUUGAAAGGAAGUAUGACGUCGAGAAGUGUUUGUUCGUGUCCAAUCGUAGGGACGUCCGGGCUAUGGGUAUAGCACUUUGUCCAGUUAUUCUGUUUUCUCUUUGCCCGUAAUAUCAGAAAGUAUGCUGACUCUUCAUAAUUUUGUAUUUUUGCAGCUUCCGAAGUAAAAAUGGACGACAUAAAGUUUCCCAAGAACUUUGUCCUCUCUCGGGACAAUAU
This 284-nucleotide long non-coding RNA is filed under the name Manihot esculenta (cassava). RNAcentral's name for it is "long non-coding RNA (MESC_LNC004599)". The record is from RNAcentral. Lineage: Eukaryota; Viridiplantae; Streptophyta; Magnoliopsida; Malpighiales; Euphorbiaceae.